RNAcentral lists this ribosomal RNA (119 nucleotides) under Pteropus alecto (black flying fox). Lineage: Eukaryota; Metazoa; Chordata; Mammalia; Chiroptera; Pteropodidae. The record is from RNAcentral.
GUCUAUAGCUGUGCCACCCUGAACGUGCUUGAUCUCAUCUGUUCUCAGAAGCUAAGCAGGGUCGGGCCCGGUUAGUGCUUGGAUGAAAGACCAACUAGGAAGACCAGGUGCUGUAUGUG